GUGCUUACCUCAGCAUCACAUACACUAAAAUUGUAGUGAUACAGAGAAGAUUAGCAUGGCCCUGCUCAUGGAUGACAUUCAAAUUCAUGAAGUGUUCUAUAUUUUU
Molecule: small nuclear RNA, 106 nt
Organism: Dipodomys ordii (Ord's kangaroo rat)
Lineage: Eukaryota; Metazoa; Chordata; Mammalia; Rodentia; Heteromyidae
Source: Ensembl